AGAGUUUGAUCCUGGCUCAGAUUGAACGCUGGCGGCAUGCCUUACACAUGCAAGUCGAACGCGAAAGGGGGCAACCCCGAGUAGAGUGGCGAACGGGUGAGCAAUACAUCGGAACACGUCCUGUAGCGGGGGACAACCCCGAGAAAUCGGGGCUAAUACCGCAUACGAUCCAAGGAUGAAAGUGGGGGACCGCAAGGCCUCACACUAUAGGAGCGGCCGAUGCCGGAUUAGCUAGUUGGCGGGGUAAUAGCCCACCAAGGCUACGAUCCGUAGCUGGUUUGAGAGAACGACCAGCCACACUGGGACUGAGACACGGCCCAGACUCCUACGGGAGGCAGCAGUGGGGAAUUUUGGACAAUGGGCGAAAGCCUGAUCCAGCCAUGCCGCGUGAGUGAAGAAGGCCUUCGGGUUGUAAAGCUCUUUCGGCGGGGACGAAAUGGCGCGGGGUAACAUCCCGCGUCGAUGACGGUACCCGAAGAAGAAGGACCGGCUAACUACGUGCCAGCAGCCGCGGUAAUACGUAGGGUGCGAGCGUUAAUCGGAAUUACUGGGCGUAAAGCGUGCGCAGGCGGUUUUGUAAGACAGGUGUGAAAUCCCCGGGCUUAACCUGGGAACUGCAUUUGUGACUGCAAGGCUAGAGUGCGGCAGAGGGGGGUAGAAUUCCACGUGUAGCAGUGAAAUGCGUAGAGAUGUGGAGGAAUACCGAUGGCGAAGGCAGCCCCCCUGGGUCGACACUGACGCUCAUGCACGAAAAGCGUGGGGGAGCAAACAGGAUUAGAUACCCCUGGUAGUCCACGCCC
Molecule: ribosomal RNA, 800 nt
Filed under: uncultured bacterium
Lineage: Bacteria
Description: bacterial SSU rRNA
Rfam family: Bacterial small subunit ribosomal RNA
Source: RNAcentral